This is a long non-coding RNA of Hyalella azteca, 1824 nucleotides long. RefSeq lists it as uncharacterized. NCBI's taxonomy places the organism in Eukaryota, Metazoa, Arthropoda, Malacostraca, Amphipoda, Hyalellidae. The transcript has 2 exons. The record is from RefSeq and is a predicted model, not a curated record.
CCCCCACCCUGCUGGGGGCUGGUCGCCCCCUUCGUCUCUCCCCCGCCCCCCACAGCCUCCAGAACUCCCCUAAACAUGGACCUCCGUACCCCUCGCCCUCCCCUCACCCACGCACUUCCCCUCACCCCCACCCCGACUUCACCUAGUGCUGCAGUUGAAAGCGGCAGCUGCAGUUGAAAGUGUCAGCUGCAGUUGAAAGCGGCAGCUGCAGUUGAAACGGAAGCUGCAGUUGGAAGCGGCAGCUGCAGUUGGAAGCGGCAGCUGCAGUUGGAAGCGGCAGCUGCAGUUGGAAGCGGCAGCUGCAGUUUAAAGUGGCAGUCAAUUCGCAGUUAGACUGCUGAUGAGUGUGAUGGCUGCAGUUAUAAUAAAUGUUGUAGCAGCAACUGGAGCGCACAGUUUUAACCAAAGCUAACAGUAUUGAUUAUCAACACCCUUUUAAGCUUAACGAGUCCUUUAUCUAUAAGACAUUUUAUUAUAAGUCAACAGGGGCUAAGAUUUCAUUGUCAGGUUUACGGCGUGUCGACGCCGCCUGCACCGCAGCUGAACUGUUAACUCAAUCAACGCAUGAUCAUGCAUGUAGAGAUAAGCCCACCUCUUUAGGUCAUUACUGGCGUGUAGGUGUGAAUGGUGAGCUGCACCACAGCCUUGCGGAUACCUGGGCGUGUAGGUGUGAAUGGUGAGUUGCACCUUAGCCUUGAGGAUACCUGGGCGUGUAGGUGAGUGCACCUUAGCCUUGAAGUUCCCCUAGCGUAAGGCAUCACAGAAGUGCUCCCAUCAAAGCCGUCUCCACAUUGUCGGAACCGCGAGUCCUGACUUGCUCUCCUGCAUGCCAAGUUCCUCGAUGUUGUUCUCAUCGAUGGGGCAAAAUUAUAUUUCUGCAUUGUCAAUACCCAUAUCAUUAUUGUCAAUAAGUGUUUAUCUUUUAUGGUCUUCAUAGUUCUUCAAUUUUCUUUGCGUUUAAAGGAAAGUUCUGUACUUUCCUCUUGCGUUUCUGUAUAUUGUACUUUCUUUUGCGUUAAUUAAGCUCGACAACGAAGUUCAAAACUGCUGAUCUCUUUGCAUAUGUAUUAUCAGUUCUUAGUUGUAUGCUUGGAAUUGGGUGAAGUUGCUUGGUUACAUGUUUUUAAGUACGUAUAUUUUCAUGUUUUUAUGCUGAGUCGAUGAUAUUGAACUGUUCCUGAAAAAUGUAUAUUUGCAUCGCGGUGUGCUGACGUUGUGGGGUUUGGCAGAAUUUUUCAUGACGUCUCAUCUGCUCCUGGACCUGCAAGCCGUACUUUCGAAGUAAAUACUUUCCCCUCGACAUAAAGUGGCCGCUAAGCGAACACUGCCUUUCCAUGAUUUUAUCGUAUUCACUUUGAUGUGCAUUUUUUCCCACUUUAACGCUUGGUUAUCAUUUUUUUAAGUACCGGUAUUCAGUUUUAUCCUGCGUUGAGUGAAGGUAUAACCUUGCAUUGAAACAGACAGUAGCCGUUACCUGUUUUUUCUCUGGUGAAUGUAAAAAUUGUGUUUUUAUAAAGUACCUAGUCCAGUUUUAGUGCCCUGUACAUAUUGAGUAUUUUAUAAGAUCAGUUGUCACUUGGUGCUUUUUUACGACGAAUUUUUUUUUUUAUGAUGAAUCGUUUUCUAUUUUUCAGAAAACAAGUUUGUAUGCCUAACGUUAAUAUUUUAUCUCUAAGGUGCUCGAAGCGCGUUAACGGUCAAUUCAAUUAGUCCUAAGUAAUACUUACUUUGAAAAAUUGCUCUGUAAGCAAUCCUCAGUUCAAGUAAAAGUUUUUCAGCUACAAAUAUGGCAUGAAACUUGACCCAGUAAAAUGUUCGAAUCAA